RNAcentral lists this unclassified non-coding RNA (338 nucleotides) under soil metagenome. Its description in RNAcentral is "partial contains 5.8S ribosomal RNA, internal transcribed spacer 2, and large subunit ribosomal RNA". The stretch from base 1 to 120 matches the Rfam family "5.8S ribosomal RNA", at positions 35 to 154 of the family's 154-position model. The record is from RNAcentral.
GAUGAAGAACGCAGCGAAAUGCGAUAAGUAGUGUGAAUUGCAGAAUUCAGUGAAUCAUCGAAUCUUUGAACGCACAUUGCGCCCCUUGGUAUUCCAUGGGGCAUGCCUGUUCGAGCGUCAUUUGUACCCUCAAGCUCUGCUUGGUGUUGGGUGUUUGUCUCGCGGUUCUGCGCAGACUCGCCUUAAAACAAUUGGCAGCCGGCUUGUUAGCCUGGAGCGCAGCACAUAUUGCGCCUCUUGCUAGCGACUGCCCGGCACCCAUCAAGCCCAUUUAUUUGCUCUUGACCUCGGAUCAGGUAGGGAUACCCGCUGAACUUAAGCAUAUCAAUAACGGAGGA